UGGGGAAUAUUGGACAAUGGGCGCAAGCCUGAUCCAGCCAUGCCGCGUGAGUGAUGAAGGCCCUAGGGUUGUAAAGCUCUUUCAACGGUGAAGAUAAUGACGGUAACCGUAGAAGAAGCCCCGGCUAACUUCGUGCCAGCAGCCGCGGUAAUACGAAGGGGGCUAGCGUUGUUCGGAAUUACUGGGCGUAAAGCGCACGUAGGCGGACCAGAAAGUUGGGGGUGAAAUCCCGGGGGCUCAACCCCCGGAACUGCCUCCAAAACUAUUGGUCUAGAGUUCGAGAGAGGUGAGUGGAAUUCCAAGUGUAGAGGUGAAAUUCGUAGAUAUUUGGAGGAACACCAGUGGCGAAGGCGGCUCACUGGCUCGAUACUGACGCUGAGGUGCGAAAGUGUGGGGAGCAAACAGGAUUAGAUACCCUGGUAGUCCACACCGUAAAACGAUGAAUGCCAGUCGUCGGGUAGCAUGCUAUUCGGUGACACACCUAACGGAUUAAGCAUUCCGCCUGGGGAGUACGGUCGCAAGAUUAAAACUCAAAUGAAUUG
This 542-nucleotide ribosomal RNA is filed under the name uncultured bacterium. RNAcentral's name for it is "bacterial SSU rRNA". It matches the Rfam family "Bacterial small subunit ribosomal RNA", at positions 355 to 912 of the family's 1533-position model. The record is from RNAcentral.